Molecule: ribosomal RNA, 253 nt
Filed under: uncultured bacterium
Lineage: Bacteria
Description: partial 16S ribosomal RNA
Rfam family: Bacterial small subunit ribosomal RNA
Source: RNAcentral
UACGUAGGGCGCGAGCGUUAAUCGGAAUUACUGGGCGUAAAGCGUGCGCAGGCGGAUGCUUAAGUCAGAUGUGAAAUCCCCGGGCUUAACCUGGGAAUGGCAUUUGAAACUGGGCGUCUGGAGUGCGGCAGAGGGGGGUGGAAUUCCACGUGUAGCAGUGAAAUGCGUAGAGAUGUGGAGGAACACCGAUGGCGAAGGCAGCCCCCUGGGCCUGCACUGACGCUCAUGCACGAAAGCGUGGGGAGCAAACAGG